This is a long non-coding RNA of Anoplophora glabripennis (Asian longhorned beetle), 2390 nucleotides long. RefSeq lists it as uncharacterized. The transcript has 2 exons. The record is from RefSeq and is a predicted model, not a curated record. Lineage: Eukaryota; Metazoa; Arthropoda; Insecta; Coleoptera; Cerambycidae.
ACGAUGUAGACAAACUAUUAAAUAAUUAUCCACAAAUAAAAAAUUCAUUUUAUCCAGAUUUUAUAACUGACAAAAAUACACAGCUGUCUUAUCGAAAUUAUUAUUUCAGAAGCUUAAAAAUUGAAUGGAAGUUUGAAAUAUUUAGUGCUUUCGGUAUUACAGUUAUGUUUUGUCAUUAGUUAACAAUGGAUAGUUUUAUUUUUAAUUUGUAGAUAAUUGCUAGCUUGGUUAUGGAAUUGUUUUUUUGAAUACUUGGACAUAACUUUGAUAAAAAAUUUAGGAACAUUUUUAAGAUGAAUUUGAAUUAGCUUAAUACUUUCAAAGUAACGUAAUAAUUAAUUUCAAUUCUAAAAUGUUAGUUUUAAAAACAUCCAGCAAUUUCAAGUUUUAAAAUAUAUGUUAAAGGUCUCGUCUACCACACAGUGCAGUGUUUAAAUCGUAAAGCAGUUUUUCAUCGUUUCAAUGAUAUUAGUUUUAGUUGGAGAUAAGUGGACGAUGCAUCCUUUAUGUACUCUACUUAAAACAAAUGUCAUGGAAAUGAUGAAAAUCCACUGUGGUACGGCGUUUAAAAACAGUUUUUUGGUUUUCAACAUGCAAGAAGUUUGUGGAUUUCGUUCCACUUUUGUAUUGUCGAUUUUUCUUAACGGAACUAAAUUAUUACAGUGGUAUCGUAGGUAUGUAUAAAAUAAUUGUGUACGUUGCUUUAAAUGUAGGCAAACAUUUUCUACAAACUGGAUACGAUUGUUGCAAUUUUACAGUAUCUGUUAUAAAAGGUGUUAAUUUGAUAUAUUUUAGAUAUUUUUUAUUAAUUGGACCAAGUAUAAUAAAUUUCUAUAGAUCUUGGAAAAGUCAUUGUUAUAUGGGAGAAUUUUGUCUUGCUUCCUUUUUUUAUAUCGGCAAACACAAAUUUUAAAUCGCUUGAUUUUAAAUUUUAUCUAAAGCCGCUCAUAUUUUAAAUGGAAGUAGAUUCUCGCGAAAAUAUAACAAUUGAUAUUUUUCCAGCUAUUUAUUUAUUUUGGCAGAAUGUUCGAUUUGAACAGAUUAUUUUAAAAUUGUCUAAUUCUUGACAAUAACUUUUGUCUGUGAAGGACCCAAUAAAAAUAAAUAUUUACUCAGAAAUAUGGUUAACAUGUGAUUUUUUCAUAUUGUUGUCAACAUCCAGUAGCUGUGUAAUAUUUAUUACAUGGUGAGGUAAACCGUUUCUAUUAAACUUUAUUCAUACCAUCGAUGAGCAAUGAUUCACCUCUCCGAAGAAAGAUUACAUAGGUGGGUAUAUAUUCAUAUUUAACAUUUAAAAGUUUUUCGCACUUCGAUGAAUAAACAGGAACUACUAUGGUGGGUCUGAAUGUGUGGUUGUAGUGCUUGUGUUUGAGUAGAGGGCCAACACUUCUUUGACAGUUAUAUUUUCCUUCCUUGGUUUUGUGGGCCCCUGGUAAAUAUUUUUGAAGAGGAACCUCACUUCAGUUUUGUUGUUACUGUAAACUAUACUUUACUGGUUUAUUUUAAUGGCAAUGCUGAAAAAAAAACUAAGAAAUGCGAAUAUAACAAAAUAGACGUGUUUGGUCCUUUAGCAUUGAAUGAUGUGUGAAUGUUUAUUUACAGACCCUUCACCUUUCAAGUGUUUCCGUUGUGGGCGAGGUUAUGCGGUGCAAUAUACACUCGAAAGACAUCUAAGGUAUGAGUGUGGAGUUGCUAAGCAGUUCUCUUGCACUGUGUGUUUAAGAAAAUUUUCUCGUAGAGAUAUAUUGAGAAAUCAUGAAAAAAAAUUUAAUCAUAUCUCGCAUAGUACAGUUUAAAAAGUUUCUUUUUACAUAUAUCUAGUCAGCUUAAAAAUAUAUUAAAAAAAGUAACAGGUGUGACUUGUAUUAAGCAGUACAGUUAUGUUUGUUACUUUGAAGUAAGAAGGUCGAUCGUUUUUCAGUAAAACAAUCGGACUGGGUGGAGGUGGGCAAUUUUUUCAAAAUUUUCUUUAUUUUCAAUUUGAAAUCACUGUAAUUCCAUUGGUAUCCUGUAAUUUUAUUAAAAAAAAACAGUAGAUAAAAAAAGUAGCAUUGAAGAAACCUACCCAGGAAUGUAUGAAGUCGCCCUUUACAUGGAUGAAUACAGCGUACCGAAGAUCUGCUAAAGCAAGGACCACUGUGACUUCUUCCUAAAGGAUUCCUUUUCCUAAUUAAUCCUUUCCAUUACCUUAUUCCUCAUUUCCAUACCAGUUUCUACUUCACGAUUAUGUUAGUCUUCACUACUACGUUGCUCCAGAGAGGAUCGUCCAUUCCCGUCUCAAAAAUACCCAUCUUCCCCAAUUAUUCCUCGUCUUCCUAGGUGUGGCCAAAGCAGAUUAACAUACUUUAAAGCUGUAUUCUUUAUUAGUUUGAAAUAAAGAUUUUUUAAUA